Long non-coding RNA from Talpa occidentalis (Iberian mole), 269 nucleotides. RefSeq lists it as uncharacterized. NCBI's taxonomy places the organism in Eukaryota, Metazoa, Chordata, Mammalia, Eulipotyphla, Talpidae. The record is from RefSeq and is a predicted model, not a curated record. The transcript has 3 exons.
GUAAUUGAUGAGCAACUUGCAUGCUUCACCCUUUAAGACAAAUGGGCUUUUGUUCCCAAGUAGUUACCUGCAGUUGGAGGUAAAGGGGUGCAGAAACAUCUCCUGUGGGCUUAGUGCACGUAGAUCAAGAGAGAAGUCCAAAAAGAACACAUGCAGAAAAUUUGAGAAAUGAACCAAGUUGGUUAUUACUAUUAUGCAUUUUUUUAAAAUCAAGGGUCCAGAACUCUCCCCAUGCUUGCAAUUUAUUCUUAACAACUCAUAUGGUGAUA